This 312-nucleotide ribosomal RNA is filed under the name uncultured bacterium. RNAcentral's name for it is "bacterial SSU rRNA". It matches the Rfam family "Bacterial small subunit ribosomal RNA", at positions 32 to 353 of the family's 1533-position model. The record is from RNAcentral.
AAUCAACGCUGGCGGCGCGCUUAACACAUGCAAGUCGAGCGAGAAAGGGGAGCAAUCCCUGAGUACAGCGGCGUACGGGUGAGUAACACGUGGGUGAUCUACCUUCUAGUGUGGAAUAACCCGUGGGGAAACCGGGCUAAUACCGCAUAAGCCUGUGAAAGGGAAAGCAGCAAUGCGCUGGAAGAGGAGCCCGCGGCCGAUUAGCUAGUUGGUGAGGUAACGCCCACCAAGGCGAUGAUCGGUAGCCGGCCUGAGAGGGCACACGGCCACACUGGCACUGAAACACGGGCCAGACUCCUACGGGAGGCAGCA